Molecule: non-coding RNA, 21 nt
Filed under: Caenorhabditis elegans
Lineage: Eukaryota; Metazoa; Nematoda; Chromadorea; Rhabditida; Rhabditidae
Source: RNAcentral
UCCUCUGUCUGUUUUUCCUCG